Molecule: RNA transcript, 1718 nt
Organism: Daphnia carinata
Lineage: Eukaryota; Metazoa; Arthropoda; Branchiopoda; Diplostraca; Daphniidae
Exons: 4
Source: RefSeq, a predicted model, not a curated record
CUUCAUCACUUUUCUAUAUGCUGAAUUGCCCUGAUUCCUUUUAAACAAGAUUUCUAACAUCCAUUUUGUUCUUGCCUAAAAAAAGCCAUCUUGCCUUUUAUUUGAUGACGAAGAAAAACAGACAAGCGCAAUGCAGGUUUGUGGUAUAAGAAACAUGCAAUGAAACUCUGGUCACGCCAUCAUAGUACAAAGGGACUUUAAACAGUAUGCUAUCAAUCACGUACUCCUCGUCAAACUCAUGGUACUAUCGGUGAAAUUUCGACAUUGUAAAACUUGUGCAAAAACGGUCAUCCUACGUCAUCGAAUUUUUAUGGUGCUGUCGGAACAGUGUGUUCUGUGCAAAGACUAUUGAAGGUCACAUUGCUUAAGACUUAUUUGGAAAUUACGAUUGAAAGGGGAAAUGGAAGAAGGAAGAAUCUCCUUUCACGGCCACCAAGACCAUCUAACGGCGGGAAUAUAAAACUGUACUAAUGUUUACUGACGUGCUGUCAGAAUUGAUUAAUCUGAAGCUAUGACUGUGUUUAUCUCAUGUUUUGGUGACGAAUUCUUCGAUCUUAUUAUUUAAUCGCAUGGUUACAUCAAAGAUAUCUUCCUAACAAUUCAAGGGGUAAUACAAAUGAAUCAUCGACUGGCAAUUAUUUUGCUAUUUCUGAGAUUUUGUCCAUUUCCAUUUUCUGAGUGUUUGUUCUGGAUGCAAGGAGUAUUGCAAUUCUUCUCCAUCUGGAUGCCUUACUCCAGUAACAAAAGUUGCUUCUAAAAAGUAAUGCAACCCUACGCCCUCCCCACCCCACGUUUGGUUUACGAUUUACAACUCUAGAUGGCAUCCCCGUCAGCCUGUUUAUGAAACUGUUGUUGACCGUUUUCAAGUUUUGCAGUAGUCGUUUGAAAGCUCAAUUUUGCAGUCAAAACUAAUUUGAAACUAUAAUUACGUAGUUUGGCAAGUUUAACUACUCAGAUUUUUUCUUUUGAAAUUUUUCAACUUUAAACGGAAGCUCGUAACAUAAUGGUCGAUACGCGCAGAGCAUUGUCUUCUAAACUUAAAAAAAAGCUUCUUGAAAAACUGACCCGUAUGCCAAGGCUGAAAAUGGGGAACAAACUGCUCAUAUUUUUUACAUUGAGCUAUUUUGCUCACAUGAAGCAACUUGCAAAGAUGGCUACUCUCAAUUCCUUGAUGGAAAAAAAACGGGCCAUAGCCAGUAAACAUGUUAUAGAAGCUCAUCAGGCUAUUGUGGAAAAAACCAAAAUGCAGAGAAAACAAAGAACAUUGGAUGAAAUGCUUAAACAUCAUAGUAAAGCUUUAAGAAGUCCAACCGAUCUCUAAAAAUUUGUAUUGUUCUUCGCAUUUCUCCUAUUUAUUCACUUCCUCAAUUAAUGGCAUCAAAAAUUCUUUCAAUUCCUGAUAGGCUUUAUCAAGUUGGUCAUUCACAAUUACAAUGUCAAAAUUACUGGGGUCACUUCCUGGAGAGUAAGCAAACAAUUUAAAUAAAUGUGAACAAACACUUCUAAAAUGGUAUACCAUAUUCCAUCUCAGCUUUUGCUGUUAGAAGUCGUUUUUGGAGACUCUCUUCACUUUCAGUGUUUCGUCCCCUAAGUCUUUGCUCUAGCACUUCCAUUGAAGGAGGCUUCAUAAAAAUGAAAACAGGAUUAAGAGAUGUUUGUCUUAUAGACUUCACACCCUGAGUAUCAAUAUCCAAAAUGCAUAUUUUAUUGCCGCGCUG